CGGCGGACGGGUGAGUAACACGUGGAUAACCUACCUAUAAGACUGGGAUAACUUCGGGAAACCGGAGCUAAUACCGGAUAAUAUAUUGAACCGCAUGGUUCAAUAGUGAAAGAGGUUUUGCUGUCACUUAUAGAUGGAUCCGCGCCGCAUUAGCUAGUUGGUAAGGUAACGGCUUACCAAGGCAACGAUGCGUAGCCGACCUGAGAGGGUGAUCGGCCACACUGGAACUGAGACACGGUCCAGACUCCUACGGGAGGCAGCAGUC
This 265-nucleotide ribosomal RNA is filed under the name uncultured Staphylococcus sp. RNAcentral describes it as "partial 16S ribosomal RNA". It matches the Rfam family "Bacterial small subunit ribosomal RNA", at positions 96 to 355 of the family's 1533-position model. The record is from RNAcentral. Lineage: Bacteria; Bacillati; Bacillota; Bacilli; Caryophanales; Staphylococcaceae.